Molecule: ribosomal RNA, 440 nt
Filed under: uncultured bacterium
Lineage: Bacteria
Description: partial 16S ribosomal RNA
Rfam family: Bacterial small subunit ribosomal RNA
Source: RNAcentral
CCUACGGGGGGCAGCAGUGGGGGAUAUUGCACAAUGGGGGGAACCCUGAUGCAGCGACGCCGCGUGAGCGAAGAAGUACCUCGGUAUGUAAAGCUCUAUCAGCAGGGAAGAAAAUGACGGUACCUGAGUAAGAAGCCCCGGCUAACUACGUGCCAGCAGCCGCGGUAGUACGGAGGGGGCAAGCGUUAUCCGGAUUUACUGGGUGUAAAGGGAGCGUAGACGGCAGUGCAAGGCUGGAGUGAAAGGCGGGGGCUCAACCCCCGGACUGCUGUGGAAACUGUACGGCUGGAGUGCAGGAGAGGUAAGUGGAAUUCCUAGUGUAGCGGUGAAAUGCGUAGAUAUUAGGAGGAACACCAGUGGCGAAGGCGGCUUACUGGACUGUAACUGACGUUGAGGCUCGAAAGCGUGGGGAGCAAACAGGAUUAGAUACCCCAGUAGUC